Acanthosepion pharaonis is the source of this 109-nucleotide non-coding RNA. The record is from the annotation of a GenBank genome assembly. Lineage: Eukaryota; Metazoa; Mollusca; Cephalopoda; Sepiida; Sepiidae.
UUGCAGCUAUAUCAUGCUGAAACAUCCAUUCCCAUAUGGUCACUGAUGUUAAGCAAUGUUGAGCAUGGUUAGUACCUGAAUGGGUGACUGCUUGGGAAUACCAAGUGCU